GUAGGUGGCAAGCGUUGUCCGGGAAUUAUUGGGGCGUAAAGCGCGCGCAGGCGGUCCUUUAAGGUCUGAUGUGAAAGCCCACGGGCUCAACCGUGGAGGGUCAUUGGAAACUGGGGGACUUGAGUACAGAAGAGGAAAGCGGAAUUCCAAGUGUAGCGGUGAAAUGCGUAGAGAUUUGGAGGAACACCAGUGGCGAAGGCGGCUUUCUGGUCUGUAGCUGACGCUGAGGCGCGAAAGCGUGGGGAGCAAACAGGAUUAGAUACCCUGGUAGUCCACGCCGUAAACGAUGAGUGCUAAGUGUUAGGGGGUUUCCGCCCCUUAGUGCUGCAGCUAACGCAUUAAGCACUCCGCCUGGGGAGUACGGCCGCAAAGGCUGA
This 377-nucleotide ribosomal RNA is filed under the name uncultured organism. RNAcentral describes it as "partial 16S ribosomal RNA". It matches the Rfam family "Bacterial small subunit ribosomal RNA", at positions 527 to 897 of the family's 1533-position model. The record is from RNAcentral.